This 524-nucleotide ribosomal RNA is filed under the name uncultured bacterium. RNAcentral's name for it is "bacterial SSU rRNA". It matches the Rfam family "Bacterial small subunit ribosomal RNA", at positions 355 to 896 of the family's 1533-position model. The record is from RNAcentral.
UAGGGAAUCUUGCACAAUGGGCGAAAGCCUGAUGCAGCAACGCCGCGUGAAGGAUGAAGGCCUUCGGGUUGUAGACUUCUGUUCUAAGGGAAGAAACAAAUGACGGUACCUUAGGAGCAAGCCCCGGCUAACUACGUGCCAGCAGCCGCGGUAAUACGUAGGGGGCAAGCGUUAUCCGGAAUUAUUGGGCGUAAAGAGUGCGUAGGUGGUUACCUAAGCGCAAGGUUUAAUUUAGAGGCUCAACCUCUACUUGCCUUGCGAACUGGGCUACUUGAGUGCAGGAGGGGAAAGCGGAAUUCCUAGUGUAGCGGUGAAAUGCGUAGAUAUUAGGAGGAACACCAGCGGCGAAGGCGGCUUUCUGGACUGUAACUGACACUGAGGCACGAAAGCGUGGGUAGCAAACAGGAUUAGAUACCCUGGUAGUCCACGCCGUAACGAUGAGCACUAGGUGUUGGGCCCGUUAGGGCUCAGUGCCGAAGUUAACGCAAUAAGUGCUCCGCCUGGGGAGUACGCUCGCAAGAGUA